Non-coding RNA from Violaceomyces palustris, 88 nucleotides. The record is from the annotation of a GenBank genome assembly. NCBI's taxonomy places the organism in Eukaryota, Fungi, Basidiomycota, Ustilaginomycetes, Violaceomycetales, Violaceomycetaceae.
GCGCUCAUGGUGUAGUGGUUUUGCAUGCCACCUUCCCAUCGCACACGGUGAAAGGUGGAGGUCAGGGGUUCGAACCCCCUUGGGCGCA